RNAcentral lists this transfer RNA (73 nucleotides) under Stegodyphus mimosarum. It matches the Rfam family "tRNA". From Rfam's summary of the family: Transfer RNA (tRNA) molecules are approximately 80 nucleotides in length. Their secondary structure includes four short double-helical elements and three loops (D, anti-codon, and T loops). Further hydrogen bonds mediate the characteristic L-shaped molecular structure. tRNAs have two regions of fundamental functional importance: the anti-codon, which is responsible for specific mRNA codon recognition, and the 3' end, to which the tRNAs corresponding amino acid is attached (by aminoacyl-tRNA synthetases). tRNAs cope with the degeneracy of the genetic code in two manners: having more than one tRNA (with a specific anti-codon) for a particular amino acid; and 'wobble' base-pairing, i.e. permitting non-standard base-pairing at the 3rd anti-codon position. Lineage: Eukaryota; Metazoa; Arthropoda; Arachnida; Araneae; Eresidae. The record is from Rfam by way of RNAcentral.
GCCUUCGUGGUGUAGCGGUCAGCACGCUCGACGCGUAACCGAAAGGUCCGUGGUUCGAUUCCCGGCUAAGGCG